Molecule: long non-coding RNA, 834 nt
Organism: Aedes albopictus (Asian tiger mosquito)
Lineage: Eukaryota; Metazoa; Arthropoda; Insecta; Diptera; Culicidae
Exons: 2
Source: RefSeq, a predicted model, not a curated record
AGCUUGGAAUCAAGAAUGACUCCAACGUACUUUACCUGUUCAGUCACAUCGAUUUCAGAAUCAAAGAGACGCAAAGGUCGAACGCCAUUACGGUUUCGCCUUUCCGUGAAAAGAACAAUAGAUGUUUUACUCGGAUUAACCGAAAGGCCAUAUUGGCGACACCAACCCUCAACUACCUGAAGGGCGUUUUGCAUCAGGUCGAAAAGGGUGCUGAUGCACAUACCAACUAACAAUGUUAGGUAGUCGUCGGCAAAACCAUAAGUAGGAAAACCGCUAUUAUUGAGUUGCCUCAAUAGCGUAUCUGCUACGAGAUUCCACAAAAGCGGUGAUAAGACUCCCCCUUGGGGGCAUCCACAAACACUCAAUUUCCUAAUCCCUGCUAGACGCAAUGUCGAGAAGAGAUAUCGGUUUUUGAGCAUUUGGUGAAUCCAAUUGGAAAUCAUUGGAGAUAUACCAUGACUCCGUGCGGCUUCCAAUAUGGCAUCGAAAGGCACGUUGUCAAAGGCACCCUCGAUAUCUAAGAAAACACCCAAACAAGAUUGCUUUUGAGCGAAUGCUUUCUCGAUAUCGUAAACAACCUUGUGUAAAAGAGUCACAGUGGACUUAGGACAUCAGGAUCAUCCGAAGAUGUAAUAUCCACACAUCCAGGGAAGUGUGUGCUGAAUAAGCAUUCCAGAACUUCCUCAUCAGAGGAAGUCAGAUCGCCAUUUGGCAAACGAAGUUCGUUCACCCGGAAAUCCUUAGAUUUCGCAAGGAUUUUGUUUAACCGACUGACUUCACUCAAGCUGGAAACAUUUGUACAAAGGUUUUUCCAGCCGGAUCGUUCAGCAGACC